CACGUAGGGGACGAGCGUUGUCCGGAAUCAUUGGGCGUAAAGGGUGCGUAGGCGGCGCGGUAAGUCGGGUGUGAAAUCUCGGGGCUUAACUCCGAAACUGCAUUCGAUACUGCCGUGCUUGAGGACUGGAGAGGAGACUGGAAUUUACGGUGUAGCGGUGAAAUGCGUAGAUAUCGUAAGGAAGACCAGUGGCGAAGGCGGGUCUCUGGACAGUUCCUGACGCUGAGGCACGAAGGCCAGGGGAGCAAACGGG
Molecule: ribosomal RNA, 253 nt
Filed under: uncultured bacterium
Lineage: Bacteria
Description: partial 16S ribosomal RNA
Rfam family: Bacterial small subunit ribosomal RNA
Source: RNAcentral